This is a long non-coding RNA of Rosa chinensis, 1491 nucleotides long. RefSeq lists it as uncharacterized. The record is from RefSeq and is a predicted model, not a curated record. NCBI's taxonomy places the organism in Eukaryota, Viridiplantae, Streptophyta, Magnoliopsida, Rosales, Rosaceae. The transcript is spliced from 3 exons.
CCCGGUUCUCUCUCUCUCGCAGCUGCUCAGAAACAAAGACCCAACACAUGAAAAAGGCCGAACAAGAACUUAAUGUCUAACAAAUCCUACUCUUGGUUUGUUUUAUGAAUCUUUCAUCUCUUCCUUUUCACUCCCGUUCCUUAAUCACAACCCUCAUCCACUACAGUCGUCAAAAACACCUCCAAGACGGCAAAGCUGCACCAGACCUGUCGGGUUUCGUCCGACCCGACCCGGAUUGUUCUCCGUUUUCCGGCGUCCUCCGGCCAAGGACCCGGCCCCCCCGAGGUCGCCUCACCUACUCCGGCCGCUCCGUGGCGUCAGCCCACGCAGACGCUGCCCCAGGCCAAGAUCGAAGCAACCCAGGCGGGUUUGCUUGCUGUUACUGCUUCAGUUCCACGAUGGUGCUGCCCCUGAGGUCGGCUCACCUCUUCUCUCUCCUCCUCCUGUCACCCACGUUUGGGUGUGGGUCGAGCUGGCACAAGCCUUGGCUGGGCAAGGAAAAUGUCAUGGGUAUGACUAUUUUCUUGGCUGUAGUCAAGAGGGGGUGGGUUUUGCCCGGUCAAAAAACCAACGGUGCAAGUAGGGAAAUUGAGAGCAAGGUCACCACAUCAGAUUUUUCUUGACUAUGACUAUGACUAUGACCUCCGGUGGACUUGCUCUAAGGUUCAAGGGACUGUACUGGCAGACCUCUGUGAUGGCAGCCAACAAUUGUUUUAUCCAUUGUAGACAGUUGAUCGAGGACCAAAAAUCAGUUUAAUAAAAACAUCUGUGCACUUGUUGUUUCAAACGGAAAAGACACAAAAAGGCAAAAUGGGCAAAAACAAAUAUGCACAUGAUGUGAGAGGUACUUGCUGGCUGCUUUAGUUCUUAACUGAUAAAACUAUGCCACGGGGGUGAGUGUGGCUAUUACACAUGCACCUGCGGUUGUACAUAGCAUUGCCUUUAUAUUUAUGAUUUGCAUGCCUGUGGGGCUGUGGGCAACUGGGCAUGGGAGUAGAUCACAGACCAUGUCCCACGAAUUACAAUUUGACAACUAUUAAACUAACCUAACACUCCUUAACUCUCAUUAAAAAAUAAUAAUAAUAAUAACAAAAAUAAACCCAGAUUGCUUCAAACCAGCCUUUUCUUCCGCUAGCUGUUAUAAUCAUCUGAUCGAUCAAAAUCGUCUUCUAUUCUUUUGUAAAACUAGGCUUACCAUUUCUUCCUACCCAGCGGAUUGAAUAGUGAAUAUUAUGAAUUUAAAUGCUUCAAGACUAUCCAAAAGGUGGGCAAAGUGUGAAACUUCAAUCCCGGCCAGGUUACAAUGAAAGAUUGGAGAGUUUUUAUUUUGAUUUUUGGUGAUAGUGUCUGGGGUUAUGCAGAAUACUGAGAUUGCUGUUGAUGCCCUUUCCAUCUGGUAUUGAAUAUAAUGACAGAUCACCGGAAACCCAAGAGGUACAAAAAUCUUUUGUCAUGGUUUACAAGUGGUGCUCCAUCAAGUGAUAGUGUCGG